Molecule: ribosomal RNA, 62 nt
Filed under: Thanatephorus cucumeris
Lineage: Eukaryota; Fungi; Basidiomycota; Agaricomycetes; Cantharellales; Ceratobasidiaceae
Description: partial 28S ribosomal RNA
Rfam family: Eukaryotic large subunit ribosomal RNA
Source: RNAcentral
AUCUGAUCUCAAAUCAGGUAGGACUACCCGCUGAACUUAAGCAUAUCAAUAAGCGGAGGAAA